RNAcentral lists this ribosomal RNA (483 nucleotides) under uncultured bacterium. RNAcentral's name for it is "partial 16S ribosomal RNA". It matches the Rfam family "Bacterial small subunit ribosomal RNA", at positions 28 to 523 of the family's 1533-position model. The record is from RNAcentral.
GAUGAACGCUGGCGGCGUGCCUAAUACAUGCAAGUCGAGCGAACCACUUCGGUGGUGAGCGGCGAACGGGUGAGUAACACGUAGGUGAUCUGCCCAUCAGACGGGGACAACGAUUGGAAACGAUCGCUAAUACCGGAUAGGACGAAAGUUUAAAGGUGCUUCUGGCACCGCUGAUGGAUGAGCCUGCGGCGCAUUAGCUAGUUGGUAGGGUAAAGGCCUAUCAAGGCGACGAUGCGUAGCCGACCUGAGAGGGUGAACGACCACACUGGGACUGAGACACAGCCCAGACUCCUGCGGGGGUCAGCAGUAGGGAAUCUUCGGCAAUGGGCGAAAGCCUGACCGAGCAACGCCGCGUGAAUGAUGAAGGCCUUCGGGUUGUAAAAUUCUGUUAUAAGGGAAGAACGACUUUAGUAGGAAAUGGCUAGAGUGUGACGGUACCUUAUGAGAAAGCCACGGCUAACUACGUGCCAGCAGCCGCAGUAA